GUUUUAAGCUUCCACCUAACAUAGCAUAGAUUAUUAAUAUUCCUCUACAGGUUACUCUCACACGUCAUCACGUAAUUAAAUUAUUCCUUGGUUUUUCUACAUUUUGCAUUUAAUAUUGUCUCAGUACAGCUCCCUUAAUACUCUAUUUGAGUGUAAAGGGGCAAUCAAAAUUUAGCCACCAAGCUUAUCAUACAAAAGAAAAAGAUAUGUAUUCUUUCUGUUUUUCUUCAACUGUCCAGUUGACUCUAUUAUGGGUGAAAGGCUUUAAAAGUGACUGUCACUAAACACAUCCUUUAUAUGAUGUCAUUUAAAGAUUCAAUACAAUACUACUAGCAGUUAAAAUAAUUUUUAUUUUUUAGAUGCAAACGUUUUUGGCACUAGGACCAUCUUCAGGCCACACAAUUAGAAAUAGAACAAACUUUUCAAAUACUUAUAUUAGAACAAAGAUAUGCUAUGGUUACAAACAACAAAAAAAAAAAAACAAAAAACAUUAUGGCUAUUUACCAAUUGGUCAAAAUUAUAUAAGUUAUAUAAAUUAUAAAAAUUACAAAACUGAACUAGUUUAGACUAUUAUACAGAAUAAAUGAAUAAACAAAUAAAUAAAUAAAACCAAAUAUUUGUAGUCUUCAUGAGGUAUUACAGUAAUUUUCAUAUUGGUCUUGUCUAUGCUUGCUAUAUUACAUAGCUCUAGGGGAGGGGAUUUGAAUGUUGGUCUUUCAUUCAUAAUAUUUUCUUUCUUUUUCUUAUUAUUUCAAUUGAUUCCACUAUUAGAGCAUGUAUUAGUGUGCUAAUUUCUUAUAAUCCUUGCCUCAUCCCAUUUGAUUCUGAGGUUUUUGCUGUGGUUAAUUUUCCUUUUUCUAUGUCUUUAUGUUUCUUUGAUCUUUGGGCUAAUGUUCUUUUGAUUACUCCUUAUGUAUGCAAUUUCUCGCUCUGCUUAUCCUUGACUGGGAUUUUAUAUACACCUUUGUUCUUCUCUUUCUUGAAGGGGUCCUUAUCAUUUCUUAAGCUGUUAAAAACUGUCAGGUCUCUUUUUGCUGCUAUCUUCUUUCUUUUCUUUGCUAUCCUCUUUAUGAUGUUAAGGUUUUUUUAUAUUGUAGGAUACCAAUAUGUAUUCUUCCUGU
RNAcentral lists this long non-coding RNA (1121 nucleotides) under Androctonus crassicauda. Lineage: Eukaryota; Metazoa; Arthropoda; Arachnida; Scorpiones; Buthidae. The record is from RNAcentral.